This is a non-coding RNA of Pelobates cultripes (western spadefoot toad), 1035 nucleotides long. The record is from the annotation of a GenBank genome assembly. Lineage: Eukaryota; Metazoa; Chordata; Amphibia; Anura; Pelobatidae.
AAAAAAACCACUGUGGCGAAAGUAACUUUGCCACUGGUUCCUGGAGGGGCCUGUUUGCCAGCCUCCAACCCUGUGACUUUGGCCCCUGUGAUAAACCUUGGUUAAAAUCACUGUUUGUACCUUUUGGACUUGUAUGUCUACACUUCGAACUCUCGAAGCGGCACUUCGAACAACCGCACGAACCAGAGACCACCCUGGAGCUUGUUAACCCCUAUUAACAACCUGGAACGUUUCUCACCGCAGUGUUCUAAUCGUUCGUCUGGUUGGCCGCAAUUCCUAUGGACAACCACGAGGUGGCAGCCAUCUUGCUCGCAUGAACACAGGCAGCGGUGUUUGAGCAUGAAUGGAACUGAAAUUGGACACACAAUCUCCCGAACACCGCUGGACUUCCAUCAUCGCCUGCGUUCGAUUCUAUACAACUUAGAAGGGUACUGUUCGGUAAAAUCAUUCGUCUGGAUGAAGGCAACAAGCUCCAGGGUAAGACUAUUGACUCUGUUCGGUAGGUUGUUUGUUUUCAAACUAAUGAACUAGACUGACCGCAAGCCCUGAUUCUCUGGAACUAUUUUGGGCAUGGGACGAUGCCUGCAGUCGGUCAAAUAAAUGACUUCCAGGAAAUUCCUGAACUGAUCUGGGUGAUUUUUGGAUCUGUUGGUCACCCAGAUCAAGGCAUGUAACAUUUGUGGGGAUGUCAUGUGUUUUUGGGGUACUUUUGGGGCGUGGACAUGUCUUUUCUGCGUGGACAUAAUUGAGUCAAUUGAGUUAAUACAGUAUCUAUCUCCCAGGCAGAAGGGAGGGAUUGUGUGCGGGAGUGUCAUGCAUUGUAACACUUAUUAUUGGUCUUUGACUUUGUAACGUAGUUCCCCACAAGGUCCAUAGGGGAGUGCCCCUUGCAUGGAGAUCGUCAUAAAAGGCCAAGUGUGGCACCAUUAAAGUCAGUCCACUUUACCUUCACCACAUAGCAUCGUCUCGUGAUUGUAGUGAACAGCUAUAAUCCCUACUAAUGGGAUUGCUCUUUGGAUUACUAUACUGGCUAUG